AGGCGGACCUAGACUAGAGCAGGUUGAGAGCAGCAUGUGGGGCGGUGGACACGGAUGGACCUAGGUGGGAUCUCUUGUACUUCCUGGUUUUUCUGUCUCGCUUCUUUCUCCUGCAACUGACCUCGCAAGGCCAGAGACGGCCUGCCACCGUGGAGCUGGGGAUGAAGGCGCCCCCCCCCCCAGCUGUGGCCCAGAUACCAGCCAUCUUUGUGGGUGUUUUAUUUAAAAAAGAAAACCCAAACCAAACCGGCCUCUGUGUAGUAUUCCCAGGGUGACAGGAAGGCGAUGCCCUUCACCAAGCAAAGGGUCUUGAGAACCAGGGUCCCACCAUGCACAGCGGCUCUAGGCUUGUCCACUCACACUCCCCCACCCCCACACCUCCACACUCUCAUUUGUAACACAGAAUACAGAUUUCCAUGCCAGGGUCUGUCAUGCUCGGAUUUCUGGCUGUCCCUUCUGAAUAGGCUGGUCCACCUCACAGCCACAUCCCGCCCAUUCCUUCUCCGGGACUCCGAUUGGCCUCAACUGCCUAUGCUUUCCUUUCAUCUAAGGCCCGUGACCUCAGGGUCUGCCUAUAGCCUCCCUUCAUGUCCUUGAAGAGGCACAUGACCAAGGGACCAGUGCAGGCCCAGCUCCUCAUUCUCAUUGGCUAGCUGCUUCAGGGUGAGGAGCCAUCAGGGAGCCCCACCUCCUGUAUCCAGACUAGAAGACUGUUCCAUGCAGACUGACCCAAAGAGAGGUCAGGUGGAGAAAAGAAAGUGGCCUGGGGGUGACUUCCAUCCAGCAGGGGCGGGGAGGAGGGCCUGAAUUGGUUUGUCAUAUUUGGACAGCCAGUGCAGUCUGGGAACCCUAUAAACCUAUUUCCCUCUCCAUCCUAUGCCGCUGUUAGACAUAUACCUGGAAAUAAACAGUUUCGAGGGGACUCAGAGGGGAGAAACGGCUGGCCAAGUGAGCAAAAAUCAUCAUGUGAAGGAAUAUAACGAAGAGCAAGUUCUGUUUUCAUGGUACCUUUGGCAUCUAACGAAAGAGGACAUGGUUGUCCAGGCAACAGCUGCUAUGGAAACCGGAGUUAUUUCACAGCCAGCCUAGCUUCCACUGGAGGGAAAUGCUGAUUCAGGCCUGGGUGUGGACACCAUGGAUACGAAGGGCCUGCUGUAUUCACUGCUCUCUGGAUACAAAAGUGUGUACCUGGCCAACUACAGCCAUCCAGGAACUGAAGCGGUCAGGCAGGCACUGCCCUCAGGAUACUGAGAACUCGCCAGCGUCACGGCCCGAAAAAGGUGGACAAAGGUGGACAAAAACUGAGGACAAAGGUGCAGCCAGCCGACCCCACAAGGACUUCGCUGGGAGCCACGAGGAGGCCACACUGGGCUUUUUUUUUUUUUUUUUAAAUGCUCCUUUGGAAAAAGCAGAGGUGACCAGAUAUCCAGCAAGAGCCUCUUGCUGACUCAGGAUCGAGGCCUCUGCGUGAGUCUGAAACACAGAUCCCAAACACUGGAGUGGCAAACUAUGGCCCUGGUGGCCGGCCACUGGCGUGAAAUGAGAGCCCGGGCACAGCAGGAGGAGGCGGUAGGCUGCCAGGGGCAGGAAGGAUGGAACCAUGAGUCAGGAGAAAGGGGCAGCUAGGUGUUGCAGGAGGCUGGAGAGACCUGGGCAUGAGACAGACCCGUGCUUCAGGGUGAGGGUCUGAUGACACACGCUGCGAGUUAAAAGAGUGUGGAACGGGUGCCAGUCACAAGCUCGUGGGCAGCAAAGGCUUCCUGGGAGCACUUGAGCAGAGGCCAGAAUAAAAUAGGGAACCUGCCCUGUCAUCUUGGGCUAAUGCCUUCCAGCAGAGGAAGCAGCUGGGAAUUGACAGAAACACUCAAGGAGGCUGGGAAGGAGGGAGGCAGGGGAAAGAGGAGGCUAUACCCCUAGCCUCAGGAAUGGCCAUGGCAGUCUGCGGGAGACAGCAGCCCCUGGGAAGUUUAUGCACAGGACUAUCGUGUGCAUUUUUAAAGGGUUGUACUGCACAAAGAAAAAUGAGGACAUGGGGAGGAGGCUCCUGCAGGUAACCUCACAGGGGGAUCGGCUGUGGACCAGGAGCAAUGGAACCGAGGAUGAAGAGCUUACUAAACAUGCAGCUCACCUCUGGCCCUACAGGCUACCACCCUCAAAAAACCCAGGAGUGGGCGCUUUGCUCGAGGUUGAAUGACCAACCACGCCCUGUUCAGGGGCAGGGCUGUGGCCUCACGCGGCUGGACUCCCCAGAGCCCCUGCCUAGCCACCUGAUCCCAAUCCCUGCUGCUCCUUCUGCCCCGAGGCUGGGAAGGUAGGUGGAAAUAAAACACAGAGCUGAAGGUGCUAAGUGCUGGGCUCCUGCCUAUCCCAGAUGCAAAACAAGGUGGGCGGGGUGCACACCCAGCCACACUGGAUGGACACUCAGGCGUCAGUUCUGGGUGGCUCUGAGCUCACGGGGAGGUUCUCCCCAUCACCACCGGCAAGACUGCGGGAAAACACGCAAUUUCCCUCUCCACCACAAGGUGGCACACGGCCCCAGGACCUGGAAGGGGUGACUCACCAGCUCUGUCACAUCCUGGCCCCGGAGCAGGGGCUUCUCCUCAGGGAAUCGCAGCUCCUGCAGCCCAGCCAUGGUCAUGUCGUGGAGCAGAAGCCCUAGAAGGAAGGGGACAUGAGGUUGGGCCUUGUUCUGAAGCUGCCCAGUGAGGGUAUCACAAGCCAGGGCUGCUGUCCCCAGGUGACCAUAACCGAUCUCUCUCCAACACCUGCUCAUGUCAAGGGAUGGUAUAUUGUAUUUGUUCUCUUCAAAUAAAAUCGUGAUUUGCAAAACUAA
Non-coding RNA from Peromyscus maniculatus bairdii (prairie deer mouse), 2833 nucleotides. The record is from RefSeq and is a predicted model, not a curated record. Lineage: Eukaryota; Metazoa; Chordata; Mammalia; Rodentia; Cricetidae.